Molecule: unclassified non-coding RNA, 393 nt
Filed under: fungal sp.
Lineage: Eukaryota; Fungi
Description: partial internal transcribed spacer region
Rfam family: Eukaryotic small subunit ribosomal RNA (bases 1-46)
Source: RNAcentral
AAGUCGUAACAAGGUUUCCGUAGGUGAACCUGCGGAAGGAUCAUUAACACGUAUCCAAACGUUAAACAACCCCGUGAACAUACAACCUGCUCUGGUCGCCCGCUCGCAUGGACAAGCCCAGUAAAUCAAGCCCCGGAAAGUUUUUGAUUUGGGACCUCUGUGCGCGUGAGAAAAACUGACAGCGAUUCAUAGAAGCGGUAGGUCAAGUGACACGGCGUCCCCAAGUGACCAGUGAAUGAAAGUGUCGCUGGAGCGUCAAGGACGACUCUUCAAGAUUGCUAGGUCGACCACCGACCGGCUUCCGUGUAUACUGAGCUAACACCGCUCCUGUAAGCAUCCAUACGGAUGGGCAGGCCCCCCGAACAACUGUUAACAAUGGAUAUCUUGGUUCUC